UACGAAGGGGGCUAGCGUUGUCCGGAAUCACUGGGCGUAAAGGGCGCGUAGGCGGCCGAUUAAGUCGGGGGUGAAAGCCUGUGGCUCAACCACAGAAUUGCCUUCGAUACUGAUUGGCUUGAGACCGGAAGAGGUCAGUGGAACUGCGAGUGUAGAGGUGAAAUUCGUAGAUAUUCGCAAGAACACCAGUGGCGAAGGCGGCUGACUGGUCCGGUUCUGACGCUGAGGCGCGAAAGCGUGGGGAGCAAACAGG
Molecule: ribosomal RNA, 253 nt
Filed under: uncultured bacterium
Lineage: Bacteria
Description: partial 16S ribosomal RNA
Rfam family: Bacterial small subunit ribosomal RNA
Source: RNAcentral